GACGCCAGUCUGCAUGGAGCCGACCUUGAAAUACCACCCUUUAAUGUUUGAUGUUCUAACGUUGACCCGUAAUCCGGGUUGCGGACAGUGUCUGGUGGGUAGUUUGACUGGGGCGGUCUCCUCCUAAAGAGUAACGGAGGAGCACGAAGGUUGGCUAAUCCUGGUCGGACAUCAGGAGGUUAGUGCAAUGGCAUAAGCCAGCUUGACUGCGAGCGUGACGGCGCGAGCAGGUGCGAAAGCAGGUCAUAGUGAUCCGGUGGUUCUGAAUGGAAGGGCCAUCGCUCAACGGAUAAAAGGUACUCCGGGGAUAACAGGCUGAUACCGCCCAAGAGUUCAUAUCGACGGCGGUGUUUGGCACCUCGAUGUCGGCUCAUCACAUCCUGGGGCUGAAGUAGGUCCCAAGGGUAUGGCUGUUCGCCAUUUAAAGUGGUACGCGAGCUGGGUUUAGAACGUCGUGAGACAGUUCGGUCCCUAUCUGCCGUGGGCGCUGGAGAACUGAGGGGGGCUGCUCCUAGUACGAGAGGACCGGAGUGGACGCAUCACUGGUGUUCGGGUUGUCAUGCCAAUGGCACUGCCCGGUAGCUAAAUGCGGAAGAGAUAAGUGCUGAAAGCAUCUAAGCACGAAACUUGCCCCGAGAUGAGUUCUCCCUGAC
This 653-nucleotide ribosomal RNA is filed under the name Escherichia coli. RNAcentral describes it as "bacterial LSU rRNA". It matches the Rfam family "Bacterial large subunit ribosomal RNA", at positions 2167 to 2819 of the family's 2925-position model. Lineage: Bacteria; Pseudomonadati; Pseudomonadota; Gammaproteobacteria; Enterobacterales; Enterobacteriaceae. The record is from RNAcentral.